Ictidomys tridecemlineatus (thirteen-lined ground squirrel) is the source of this 639-nucleotide non-coding RNA. NCBI's taxonomy places the organism in Eukaryota, Metazoa, Chordata, Mammalia, Rodentia, Sciuridae. The record is from RefSeq and is a predicted model, not a curated record.
CGAGAGCAAGGGAGCACAGUCUAGGAGGACUGGAGAAACUCUGAGGUGGGGUAGCUGGGGAGAAGUACAGCAAAGAACUUGGAGAAAAGAUUCUGUAUAUAUCUCUCAAAGCACUUCUAAGUGACAUGGAACUGCCUGGCCUAUGGGAGGGGCAGAAGUAGUUUCGAUUUUUGAAGGGAACCUAAACACCUUGGGAUGUUCAAAGAUGGAACCUAAUUCAAGAAUAGACUUUGUCUUCAAUGGCCAAAGACAGCCACAGCCAAACCAUCUGGAGAUUUAUUGGAAAUUCCUGAAGAUUUUGUAUGCAGACAAUGGUGCCAUCCGUGAAAAGAGUUUUAUUUCUUCUCUUCCAAUUGAUCUCUGCCCACCACUCUUAACCCCCAACCCACAAGAUUGCCUGCCCCAGUCCUAGAAAGCAUUAAUAGCGAGUUGCCAUUCUUGCUGCCUGCUGCUGCUUCCGCUCAGAAAAGCCCCUCUGAAGAAGGACAGGGAAUGAGGCCCGAGGAGGAUAUGUUUCUCAAAAUCACAGAGGACCUUGGCUUGAAUGCAAACCUAACUCUAAAAUGUGUCUACUGGAGGUAGGUUGAUUUCUUCUCUUGCCUUGUGUGUGCUUCUCCAGAGCAAGUGUGACAAAGUGUG